UCCUUGUGCACCACGUCCCUCCUGGCGAG
RNAcentral lists this small RNA (29 nucleotides) under Bombyx mori (domestic silkworm). Its description in RNAcentral is "ovarian small RNA-28087". Lineage: Eukaryota; Metazoa; Arthropoda; Insecta; Lepidoptera; Bombycidae. The record is from RNAcentral.